This is a non-coding RNA of Hemiscyllium ocellatum (epaulette shark), 74 nucleotides long. The record is from the annotation of a RefSeq genome assembly. NCBI's taxonomy places the organism in Eukaryota, Metazoa, Chordata, Chondrichthyes, Orectolobiformes, Hemiscylliidae.
GGUUGGUUAGCUCAGCCGGUUAGAGCGUGGUGCUAAUGAUGCCAAGGGCAUGGGUUCAAUCCCCACACUAACCA